GAUGAACGCUGGCGGCGUGCCUAAUACAUGCAAGUCGAGCGAACAGACGAGGAGCUUGCUCCUUUGACGUUAGCGGCGGACGGGUGAGUAACACGUGGGUAACCUACCUAUAAGACUGGGAUAACUUCGGGAAACCGGAGCUAAUACCGGAUAAUAUUUCGAACCGCAUGGUUCGAUAGUGAAAGAUGGCUUUGCUAUCACUUAUAGAUGGACCUGCGCCGUAUUAGCUAGUUGGUAAGGUAACGGCUUACCAAGGCAACGAUACGUAGCCGACCUGAGAGGGAGAUCGGCCACACUGGCACUGAGACACGGUCCAGACUCCUACGGGGGGCAGCAGUAGGGAAUCUUCCGCAAUGGGCGAAAGCCUGACGGAGCAACGCCGCGUGAGUGAUGAAGGUCUUCGGAUCGUAAAACUCUGUUAUUAGGGAAGAACAAACGUGUAAGUAACUGUGCACGUCUUGACGGUACCUAAUCAGAAAGCCACGGCUAACUACGUG
Molecule: ribosomal RNA, 497 nt
Filed under: uncultured bacterium
Lineage: Bacteria
Description: partial 16S ribosomal RNA
Rfam family: Bacterial small subunit ribosomal RNA
Source: RNAcentral